CAUGUGGUUUAAUUCGAAGCAACGCGAAGAACCUUACCAGGUCUUGACAUCCUCUGAAAACCCUAGAGAUAGGGAUUAACAUUAGGGAGCAGAGUGACAGGUGGUGCAUGGUUGUCGUCAGCUCGUGUCGUGAGAUGUUGGGUUAAGUCCCGCAACGAGCGCAACCCUUGAUCUUAGUUGCCAUCAUUAAGUUGGGCACUCUAAGGUGACUGCCGGUGACAAACCGGAGGAAGGUGGGGAUGACGUCAAAUCAUCAUGCCCCUUAUGACCUGGGCUACACACGUGCUACAAUGGACGGUACAAAGAGCUGCAAGACCGCGAGGUGGAGCUAAUCUCAUAAAACCGUUCUCAGUUCGGAUUGUAGGCUGCAACUCGCCUACAUGAAGCUGGAAUCGCUAGUAAUCGCGGAUCAGCAUGCCGGGGUGAAUACGUUCCCGGGCCUUGUACACACCCCUUCUUUUUCUCCACGAGAGUUUGUAACACC
This 484-nucleotide ribosomal RNA is filed under the name Bacillus cereus. RNAcentral's name for it is "bacterial SSU rRNA". It matches the Rfam family "Bacterial small subunit ribosomal RNA", at positions 938 to 1421 of the family's 1533-position model. The record is from RNAcentral. Lineage: Bacteria; Bacillati; Bacillota; Bacilli; Caryophanales; Bacillaceae.